CCUACGGGUGGCAGCAGUGGGGAAUAUUGGACAAUGGGGGAAACCCUGAUCCAGCAAUGCCGCGUGUGUGAAGAAGGCCUGCGGGUUGUAAAGCACUUUCGGUUGGGAAGAAAAGUUUGGCGCCAAUACCGCCGAACCUUGACGUUACUGACAGAAGAAGCACCGGCUAACUCUGUGCCAGCAGCCGCGGUAAUACAGAGGGAACAAGCGGGCAUCGAGAUCGCGGGGCGUAAAAUGUGCGUCGGUGGUGAAAUCCCCGGGCUUAACCUGGGAACUGCAUUCGAUACUACAUGGCUAGAGUAUGGUAGAGGGAAGUGGAAUUUCCGGUGUAGCGGUGAAAUGCGUAGAUAUCGGAAGGAACACCAAUGGCGAAGGCAGCUUCCUGGACUAAUACUGACACUGAGGCACGAAAGCGUGGGUAGCAAACAGGAUUAGAUACCCUAGUAGUC
RNAcentral lists this ribosomal RNA (449 nucleotides) under uncultured bacterium. RNAcentral describes it as "partial 16S ribosomal RNA". It matches the Rfam family "Bacterial small subunit ribosomal RNA", at positions 338 to 795 of the family's 1533-position model. The record is from RNAcentral.